RNAcentral lists this ribosomal RNA (460 nucleotides) under uncultured bacterium. Its description in RNAcentral is "partial 16S ribosomal RNA". It matches the Rfam family "Bacterial small subunit ribosomal RNA", at positions 338 to 795 of the family's 1533-position model. The record is from RNAcentral.
GCUACGGGUGGCAGCAGUGAGGAAUAUUGGUCAAUGGGCGCGAGCCUGAACCAGCCAAGUAGCGUGAAGGAUGACUGCCCUACGGGUUGUAAACUUCUUUUAUAAAGGAAUAAAGUGAGGCACGUGUGCCUUUUUGUAUGUACUUUAUGAAUAAGGAUCGGCUAACUCCGUGCCAGCAGCAGCGGUAAUACGGAGGAUCCGAGCGUUAUCCGGAUUUAUUUGGUUUAAAGGGAGCGUAGAUGGGUUUUUAAGUCAGUUGUGAAAGUUUGCGGCUCAACCGUAAAAUUGCAAUUGAUACUGGCAUCAUUGAGGACAGUGGAGGUAGGCGGAAUUCGUGGUGGAGCGGUGAAAUGCUUAGAUAUCACGAAGAACUCCGAUUGCGAAGGCAGCCUACUAAACUGCCACUGACAUUGAUGCUCGAAAGUGUGGGUAUCAAACAGGAUUAGAUACCCCAGUAGUC